AGCAACAAAGCAUCUCAGCCUGCUCUAUGAGCUGGAUAUUUCGUAGGAAGGAGCCGAUUUGGCGAAAGUUACGUAAACAAUGGAAUUGUCUCAGUUUGCGCCUUUGUUUCGUUUGACAGCCCUCCAGGGAGUCAUAGUGAUUGCUGGAGACGGUGAACUAACACUGUGGGGACCCUUGUGCUAAACGUGUCAAGUGGCACAACAAGGAUAGGAACACGGGUCCUUUGGACUCCACAGCUUCUGCUCCUUCCAGAUUAAGCCACACUGCUUUCUCCAAGUUGUUACUGUAGUAACAUCAUUUUGGCUGCAGUUUGUGGAUGGGUUGGAAGAUGGGAAGUCAAUGCAGAAGCACCGUUGAAAGUAUUCCACUGGGCAGGGCGCGGUGGCUCACGCUUGUAAUCCCAGUACUUCGGGAGGCCGAAGCGGGAGGAUCGCUUGAGCCCAGAGGUUCGAUACCAGGCUGGGCAACACAGUGAGACCUCGUCUCUAUAUAGAAAAAUAAACAAACAAAAAAUUUAAAAAGAAAAGUAGGGCCAGGAGCUAUGACUCACGCCUGUAAUCCCAGCACUUUGGGAGGCCAAGGCGGGUGGAUCGCCUGAGGUCAGGAAUUCGAGACCAGCCUGGCCAAAAUAGUGAAACCCCGUCUUUACUAAAAAUACAAAAAAUUAGCUGGGCAUGGUGGCGGGUGCCUGUAAUCCCAGCUACUCGGGAGGCUGAGGCAGGAGAAUUGCUUGAGCCCGGGAGGCGGAGGUUGCAGUGAGCCGAGAUCACGCCAUUGCACUCCAGCCUGGGCAACAAGAGCGAAACUCUGUCUCAAAAAACAAAAGUAUUCCAUUGAUUCUGUAAUCAAAAUAAAACACGUUAAAUAUUAAGCAUGGUAUUAAUACUCCAUGUAUACUCCAG
RNAcentral lists this long non-coding RNA (903 nucleotides) under Homo sapiens (human). RNAcentral describes it as "non-protein coding lnc-MRPL35-1:2". The record is from RNAcentral. Lineage: Eukaryota; Metazoa; Chordata; Mammalia; Primates; Hominidae.